GAAAUGCAAAUCGAACAUAACUAGAUGCAAAUAAUACAAUAUAAAGAAACCGACGCACGUCUAGCCAACAUGCCAAAGCUUUCGCUACUGCUGGGCAGACUCUGGAGCGUGGAAGGUGUUGAUUCAUCGCGCGUAAUGACACUUGAGAAAGAGAGCAAGGACUUUACCGUGGAUGACAUGCGUUUGAAGGGAUCAACGUUGAGAGUGGGUUUCACGGUUUCUAAAGUUAGGUGGCAGGUACGGUCGAACCCUCGCUUUGCCCUCAGUGGUUGAGUGUCGCGUGAGUAACUUUACCAAUUUUUUUUUCUCAUUUCAUUAUUUCAUUUCACUCUCUGUUUUCACUUUCUCGUUUCACUCUCUGAUUUCACUCUCCCUCAGUUUUCCCUCUUUCACGGUCAUUCUCGCAUUUCACCCUCGUUCUCAUUUUUCACUCUUCACAAUUGGUGCCAUUGCAACUCGUAAGAAAAUUUCUCUCUCAUUUCACUAUCCCUCUCAUUUCACAGUCUCUGAUUUUCUUUCUUUGCUGCUUCAAUGCUGCAUUGUAGGUUCCAUUAUUUUCGAAGUGGCAGUGGUGAAGUAUAGAUAGUGGAAGACGAACGAACCUUGCAGAUUUUUUGUCUUUGUAGAAGUUGAGUUGAUUGAGAGCAUUGCUGAUUGAAAUGUUAGUUUAUUUUUUGGUGAUUUUUGUACAAAUGAUCCUUCAUUUUUUUAAUUAAUUUGAUCAAUAAUAUGUGAGAUGAUUUGUUAUUUAACCAGAACAUUGAUAUUGGUCUCACUUAUGUUUAUCAGAACGCAGAUGCCUAAUUUGUAAUGGAUUUGCUUAUUUAUCAUUAUUUUAAGUUUUUAAA
This 848-nucleotide long non-coding RNA is filed under the name Phaseolus vulgaris (common bean). Its description in RNAcentral is "long non-coding RNA (PVUL_LNC003083)". The record is from RNAcentral. Lineage: Eukaryota; Viridiplantae; Streptophyta; Magnoliopsida; Fabales; Fabaceae.